AAUUGUAUUAUUUUAACAAAUUUGAAAGUUGUCCAACAGAGUCUAACAAAUUUAGAAGAACAUAAAAUGUAGCAUAAAAAACAGGUUUUAGCAAACAAUGACUUGACAUAAACUUAGCAGCGCAAAAUUGGGAAUUGGCCCACCAGGGAAAAUAGUGCUCAACAAAAUGUUAAAGUUAUGAAACAAUUAAGCAACAAAUUUGUUGAAUGGGUAGAAUUGAUAUCUACUAAUGUUGUGCUACGAAGUUCAUAUAUGUAUCUUAAUCGUACUAUAAAGUUAAUAAGAUCUCAAUAAAAUUAUGGUUCGAUGAAAUGAAAAUUUAAUUUUCUCUCAGAAACUGUUUGGUUAAAAAUUGUUUGAUGUCGGUUACAAUUAGUUACUAAAACGUUAUUCAAUUUUGGAAUUAGUCCGGAGUCGAUAGGGUAUAGUUGGUGGGCCACCUUUACAGAUGUCUAAUAUUGAUAGUUAUUCUGUUGUUGACCUAUAGUAGUACCUUUGUAAAACUCACAAUGAUAUUUGCCUUAGCAUUCUGCUGCACACGGUUUCAGACAGUUUCAGACGGUUUAAUAGGACUUUGGAAAACACCUUAUACACUGAGUUUAGUGGAGAUAUCCUCUAUAGUUGUUGCACUCAGUUUUAUCGUCCUUCAUAUAAAGUAGAUAGUAUUAUUAUUGCUCCGUUCCAAUAGUCUGGCAUUAUUUUCUGCUGGUAUACCUUAAAAAUACAAUUAUGCACAUUUUCUCCGCGAUACUUUAUAAGUUCCAAUGGAAUGCCAUUGGAACCUGGGAUCUUCCAAUAUUUUAAGGUUCCUUAUUGCUUCCUUGACUUUCUCUUUGAAUACUUAAUUUACCAAUGGUUUUCUUUCCUCUCCUCGCUGAAUGUAUGCAUUUUCUAUAUGAUUGGGACCCAUUGUAUCAUUUACGAGAUCAGUAAAAUAUUCUUUCCAUCAUAUUAUUUUCUUUUCUGGAUCCAUCAGUAUUGUCUCCAUAGUAUUCUUUAAGACUUAUAGACGUGGGUUAAACGAUCUUUACUUUUUGAUAGUUUUGAAAAAAUUCCUUAUGCUACCUUAUAAUCUAUUCCUUUGUAAUAUUCCAUUUAGAAAACAUUUGUUCUUUCUCUGUAAUACAUGUUUAAAGUUCUUUUAUUCCUUUUCAUAUAUUUCUUUCUUAUUUUCAUUUUUAGUCCCCUGAUCUAUUAUAGUUUUCUCUGGUAAUUCACCACUUCUCUAUUUCUUUGUGAGAGGCAUUGUUAUACCGUAUAUUUGUUUUGUUUUCUAUCUUCUCUAUACUCUUUUUCUCUACUUCCUUAAUAUAUUACAUGGCUUGGUCCUAUUCUAUUUUUUAUCAUGUUCUUCUAGGUUUCUUAAAUGGUUACUAAUUUUAUUUGCACAAUUUUUCUGAAUCUCUAUAUCUUUUAAUGCUUCCAGGUUCACACUAAAUUUUUUCUUUUUU
This is a non-coding RNA of Cinara cedri, 1451 nucleotides long. The record is from the annotation of a GenBank genome assembly. Lineage: Eukaryota; Metazoa; Arthropoda; Insecta; Hemiptera; Aphididae.